This 55-nucleotide transfer RNA is filed under the name Corchorus capsularis. Lineage: Eukaryota; Viridiplantae; Streptophyta; Magnoliopsida; Malvales; Malvaceae. The record is from Rfam by way of RNAcentral.
AUCUCACGGUAGAGCAGAGGAUUGAAAAUCCUCGUGUCACCAGUUCAAAUCUGGU